Molecule: ribosomal RNA, 496 nt
Filed under: uncultured bacterium
Lineage: Bacteria
Description: bacterial SSU rRNA
Rfam family: Bacterial small subunit ribosomal RNA
Source: RNAcentral
AGCGAACGUUUGCGGCGGGCUUAACACAUGCAAGUCGAACGAGAAUCCCUUCGGGGAGGAAAGUGGCGCACGGGUGCGUAACACGUGGAUAACCAACCCAUUGGUUUGGGACAACACCGGGAAACUGGUGCUAAUACCAGAUGUGUCGCAGCUGUCUUCAGGCGGUUGCGAGAAAGGCCCGCAAGGGUCGCCAACGGACGGGUCCGCGUCCCAUCAGCUAGUUGGUGAGGUAAUGGCUCACCAAGGCAAAGACGGGUAGCUGGUCUGAGAGGAUGAUCAGCCACACUGGAACUGAGACACGGUCCAGACUCCUACGGGAGGCAGCAGUGGGGAAUAUUGCGCAAUGGGCGAAAGCCUGACGCAGCCACGCCGCGUGAGCGAUGAAGGUCUUCGGAUCGUAAAGCUCUGUGGGGGGAGAAGAAGAAAGCCGGUGAAGAGCCGGCCCUGACGGUAUCCCCUUAGCAAGCACGGCUAACUCCGUGCCAGCAGCCGCGGU